UCUGUGAGAAUAACAAUUUUACCUUACACUGUAUUUAUCUCAUGUGGUUUAAAACAUCCAGAAAUCAUUGAUAAACUGACCCUGCCCAAACUAAAGCAUGGUCAACAGUGUUGCCCAAAACAAAUGAAUUUUACACCUUCUCAAACUCAAUAGAGCAAAGAUGGAACUUCAUUCCCCCUGCAAGACUUACUGCCCUAGAGAAAAGCAAAAACAACGUGUGACAUCUAAUUCUUUCUCCACAUUCUCAUCUCAAAUGGAGCAUCAAUAAAAGCCCUCCAGGAGUAGCUGUCGCUCUUUCCCUCCACAUGAGCACCAGCUGCGUUUGCUUUAAGCAUCAGACUCUCAGGCAACACCAUAGCCCUCAACUCCGUUUA
This is a long non-coding RNA of Diceros bicornis minor, 374 nucleotides long. RefSeq lists it as uncharacterized. The record is from RefSeq and is a predicted model, not a curated record. The transcript has 3 exons. Lineage: Eukaryota; Metazoa; Chordata; Mammalia; Perissodactyla; Rhinocerotidae.